GAUUCCGUGGCCUAAUGGAUAAGGCGCUGGUCCACGGAACCACAGAAUCUGGGUUCGAUCCCCAGCAGAGUCG
This 73-nucleotide transfer RNA is filed under the name Gossypium hirsutum (cotton). It matches the Rfam family "tRNA". Rfam says of the family: Transfer RNA (tRNA) molecules are approximately 80 nucleotides in length. Their secondary structure includes four short double-helical elements and three loops (D, anti-codon, and T loops). Lineage: Eukaryota; Viridiplantae; Streptophyta; Magnoliopsida; Malvales; Malvaceae. The record is from Rfam by way of RNAcentral.